CGUGCAGGUGGUUUGGUAAGUUGGAUGUGAAAUCUCCCGGCUCAACUGGGUGAGGUCGUUCAAAACUGCUGAACUAGAGGACGGUAGAGGAAAGUGGAAUUCCCGGUGUAGUGGUGAAAUGCGUAGAUAUCGGGAGGAACACCAGUGGCGAAAGCGACUUUCUGGCCCGUUCCUGACACUAAGACGCGAAAGCUAGGGUAGCAAACG
This 207-nucleotide ribosomal RNA is filed under the name uncultured bacterium. RNAcentral describes it as "partial 16S ribosomal RNA". It matches the Rfam family "Bacterial small subunit ribosomal RNA", at positions 568 to 774 of the family's 1533-position model. The record is from RNAcentral.